Long non-coding RNA from Sceloporus undulatus (fence lizard), 352 nucleotides. RefSeq lists it as uncharacterized. Lineage: Eukaryota; Metazoa; Chordata; Lepidosauria; Squamata; Phrynosomatidae. The record is from RefSeq and is a predicted model, not a curated record. The transcript is spliced from 3 exons.
GCCGCGGGCUGCGGGGCAGGCGCGCGUGCUGCCGCUGACCCCUACUGAGGCCUGGGCGGCAUUCAAGCCCUCGCCCUGGAGGCGAGGAAGAGGAGGAAGGCGGAGCUGGAGGAGGAGUAUGUGCAUCCAUUUUUCCUUCCCUCUCUUCCAUAAGACCUUGUGUUUGACUAUGCACAAGCAAUUUAAGCAUACACAGAGAGCUCGGACGCCCAGUGUCGAAGAAAGCGCCCAGCGCCACACCACCCACACCUGCGCCAGCGCUGAGGGGGGGAGAGGAGUUGCCAAGUCCUGUGAUGGGAGUUAAGUUAAGAGGUGAUGACCAAUCUCAUCCGGUGUGCUUCUUGGACAUUUA